AGCGAACGCUGGCGGCAGGCUUAACACAUGCAAGUCGAGCGGGCAUCCUUGUGGUGUCAGCGGCAGACGGGUGAGUAACGCGUGGGAACGUGCCCUUCGGUUCGGAAUAGCUCAGGGAAACUUGAGCUAAUACCGGAUACGUGCGAGAGCAGAAAGGUUUAUCUGCCGAAGGAUCGGCCCGCGUCUGAUUAGCUAGUUGGUGAGGUUACGGCUCACCAAGGCGACGAUCAGUAGCUGGUCUGAGAGGAUGAUCAGCCACACUGGGACUGAGACACGGCCCAGACUCCUACGGGAGGCAGCAGUGGGGAAUAUUGGACAAUGGGGGCAACCCUGAUCCAGCCAUGCCGCGUGAGUGAUGACGGCCUUAGGGUUGUAAAGCUCUUUUCUCCGGGACGAUAAUGACGGUACCGGAGGAAUAAGCCCCGGCUAACUUCGUG
Molecule: ribosomal RNA, 437 nt
Filed under: uncultured bacterium
Lineage: Bacteria
Description: partial 16S ribosomal RNA
Rfam family: Bacterial small subunit ribosomal RNA
Source: RNAcentral